GAUGAAGAACGCAGCGAAAUGCGAUAAGUAAUGUGAAUUGCAGAAUUCCGUGAAUCAUCGAAUCUUUGAACGCACAUUGCGCCCCCUGGUAUUCCGGGGGGCAUGCCUGUCCGAGCGUCAUUGCAACCUUCAAGCGCGGCUUGUGUGUUGGGUCUCGUCCCCCGUGGACGGGCCCGAAAGGCAGUGGCGGCGUCCCGACAUGGUGCCCGAGCGUAUGGGAAUCCUCUUCCGCUCGAAUCGGCCCAUGCGGCGCUGGUCGUAACCAAAUUUUUUACCGGUUGACCUCGGAUCAGGUAGGGAUACCCGCUGAACUUAAGCAUAUCAAUAAGCGGAGG
Molecule: unclassified non-coding RNA, 335 nt
Filed under: soil metagenome
Description: partial contains 5.8S ribosomal RNA, internal transcribed spacer 2, and large subunit ribosomal RNA
Rfam family: 5.8S ribosomal RNA (bases 1-120)
Source: RNAcentral